Molecule: ribosomal RNA, 487 nt
Filed under: uncultured bacterium
Lineage: Bacteria
Description: bacterial SSU rRNA
Rfam family: Bacterial small subunit ribosomal RNA
Source: RNAcentral
AGAGUUUGAUCAUGGCUCAGGAUGAACGCUAGCGGCAGGCUCAAUACAUGCAAGUCAAGGGGGUAGCAAUACAACCGGCGCACGGGUGAGUAACGCGUACACAACAUACCAUAUACUGGAGUAUAGCUUUGGGAAACUGAAGGUAAUCCUCCAUAACAUUGCGAGAGGGCAUCUGAUUGCAAUUAAAGUUUCGGCGGUAUAUGAUUGGUGUGCGUUUGAUUAGCUAGUUGGUAGGGUAACGGCCUACCAAGGCGACGAUCAAUAGCUGGCGUGAGAGCGCGACCAGCCACACUGGAACUGAGACACGGUCCAGACUCCUACGGGAGGCAGCAGUAGGGAAUAUUGGACAAUGGAGGAAACUCUGAUCCAGCCAUGCCGCGUGAUAGAUGAAGGCCCUCUGGGUUGUAAAUAUCUUUAUCUGGGAAGAAACACUCCUAUUCUUAGGAACUUGACGGUACCAGAGGAAUAAGCACCGGCUAACUCCGUG